UACGUAGGCAGCAAGCGUUGUUCGGAAUUACUGGGCGUAAAGAGUGUGUAGGCGGUGUUCUAAGUCUGUUGUGAAAUCUCCCGGCUUAACUGGGAGGGUGCGGCGGAAACUGGAAUGCUAGAGGAUGGGAGAGGUAAGCGGAAUUCCUGGUGUAGCGGUGAAAUGCGUAGAUAUCAGGAGGAACACCGGCGGUGUAGACGGCUUUCUGGACCGUAGCUGACGCUGAGACACGAAAGCGUGGGUAGCAAACAGG
Molecule: ribosomal RNA, 253 nt
Filed under: uncultured bacterium
Lineage: Bacteria
Description: partial 16S ribosomal RNA
Rfam family: Bacterial small subunit ribosomal RNA
Source: RNAcentral